GAUCGUACGACCUCUAAUUAGAUCCAGAACUACUUGAAACUGAAUACACACGGAGAUGAUAAGGUCUCCCGUAUUCUCCUCCUUCGUAUUUCAUUAAAAUGAAACUAUCUCCUUUAACUUCCCCACUUGAUUCUUCUGAUUUUCUUUUUCUUAGAUUUAGAUGUUUAACUCCAUCAAUUUCAUCACAGAAAUCACACUUCAAUUUUGCAAAACCCCUGAUUUUUAAAGAAACUGGAAUACAGAAAUAUUUUCUUUUUUUAACAGUAAAAUCUCUCUUUACAUUUCCAUCUUCUACUACCUUGAAUUAAGAGAUACAUAGAUUUAGCUUGCAAUGGUGAAAGCGGUGGCGGAUUGAUGGCAAAGACGAUUGUAGAGAAGAAUCAUCACCAAAAAGGUGAAGAAACCCAGGGUGGAGGAGAGCUACAGACGCCAAAUCGUAGAGAUUCUUGGGAUUUUGCAGAUCUUCUUGGUAGAACAACCAAUGGCAUCAUCAUCACCGUUGGGUCAUUCAGUAAUACCAAUUGUGAAUAAACUACAAGCUAUAUUUGCACGAUUAGGAAGUUCAUCAACGAUUGAAUUACCAUUGUUGUGGUUGGUAGAGAUUUUCUACCCAGAGGUUCUGAUUUUUGUACAAGAAGACCAUUUGUUUUAUAAUUGUUGCAGACUAAACAUAAAUCUGAUGAUGGAGAUGAUGAAGAGUAUGGAGAGUUCUUGCACUUGCCUAAGAAGAAAUUCUUUGAUUUCUCUGAUAUUCGCAGAGAGAUUCAGAAAUGCAGAGACUUUAGAGAAGAAAUAAAAAACUCCAUGAUUUCGAGCUACAAGUGAGCAAUGUAGCUAACCAGGCCGAAGGACUAAUGAAAGCUCGGCGAGAUAUGGAAGAAAUAAUGUGAUAACUGGGUACCGCACUCAUAAGAGUUACUAACGAUGCGAAGAUUGUUGUUGUCUGAGAAAAUGAAAUAAUCAAGGUAAUAUCAGUUGUUGACAGUACUGGGCUAUAGGCACACGAACUAGAUGCAUUUGUUAUCUGCAUUUUUUAUAUACUGAAAUCGCACAGUUACAAGCAAAAGGUGUCAUGAACAUUUCGUCUGUGGGUUUACUGUUGCUAAUAAUGAUAAGCACACUAACUAGGUGUAUUACUACUUCCUUUCUUGUGUCUUAUUGGUUUACGGGAACAACCUCAACAAUCUCUCUAUUCCCAGAAGUGCAAUAUCCAAAAAUCUAGUUACAAGCCCGCUUCUCUGAUUUUGGUGCGUGUUCAAGUGGUAGCUGACUUUAAUAUGUUGGCAGUGACGAAGAGUUUCAAAUUUUCAUCCUCCUGAAUAUUUUUUCUUGUGCGGAAGGAAUACAAGAGUGCAUCAGCGUCAGAGACUGGCUUACAACAAUGGAUCUUGGCAUUUUGGAAGGCUGACAUCCUUUGCUGGAAGACGUACAUGUUAUGAUCAAUCCUUAAAAAGGUUAUAUCUUAUUGAAGGUAUAUCAUAUGAUGAACAGAAGGAUCUCUGGCACCUGGAAGUUAAAUAUAUUUUGAUUUUUUUCUUCUUGGUUGUUAUUUUGAACAAGAAGUAGCUUAUGUAGUUGAAUUUGAGAUACUUGGUUUCUCAAAGUUAUAAUUUUUCUAUUGAAGCAUCGUGUGUUACUGAAUUUAAGUUAACUUAAAUAAAAUGGUUCAAAUUUGU
Long non-coding RNA from Papaver somniferum (opium poppy), 1676 nucleotides. RefSeq lists it as uncharacterized. The record is from RefSeq and is a predicted model, not a curated record. The transcript is spliced from 6 exons. Lineage: Eukaryota; Viridiplantae; Streptophyta; Magnoliopsida; Ranunculales; Papaveraceae.